RNAcentral lists this ribosomal RNA (1040 nucleotides) under Streptomyces sp. LK1121.1. RNAcentral describes it as "partial 16S ribosomal RNA". It matches the Rfam family "Bacterial small subunit ribosomal RNA". The record is from RNAcentral. Lineage: Bacteria; Bacillati; Actinomycetota; Actinomycetes; Kitasatosporales; Streptomycetaceae.
ACGCUGACGGCGUGCUUAACUCAUGCAAGUCGAACGAUGAACCACUUCGGUGGGGAUUAGUGGCGAACGGGUGAGUAACACGUGGGCAAUCUGCCCUUCACUCUGGGACAAGCCCUGGAAACGGGGUCUAAUACCGGAUACCACUCGCACGGGCAUCUGUGCGGGUUGAAAGCUCCGGCGGUGAAGGAUGAGCCCGCGGCCUAUCAGCUUGUUGGUGAGGUAAUGGCUCACCAAGGCGACGACGGGUAGCCGGCCUGAGAGGGCGACCGGCCACACUGGGACUGAGACACGGCCCAGACUCCUACGGGAGGCAGCAGUGGGGAAUAUUGCACAAUGGGCGAAAGCCUGAUGCAGCGACGCCGCGUGAGGGAUGACGGCCUUCGGGUUGUAAACCUCUUUCAGCAGGGAAGAAGCGAAAGUGACGGUACCUGCAGAAGAAGCGCCGGCUAACUACGUGCCAGCAGCCGCGGUAAUACGUAGGGCGCAAGCGUUGUCCGGAAUUAUUGGGCGUAAAGAGCUCGUAGGCGGCUUGUCACGUCGGGUGUGAAAGCCCGGGGCUUAACCCCGGGUCUGCAUUCGAUACGGGCUAGCUAGAGUGUGGUAGGGGAGAUCGGAAUUCCUGGUGUAGCGGUGAAAUGCGCAGAUAUCAGGAGGAACACCGGUGGCGAANGCGGAUCUCUGGGCCAUUACUGACGCUGAGGAGCGAAAGCGUGGGGAGCGAACAGGAUUAAAUACCCUGGUAGUCCACGCCGUAAACGGUGGGAACUAGGUGUUGGCGACAUUCACGUCGUCGGUGCCGCAACUACGCAUNANUUCCCCCCUGGGAAACNGCGCAAGGUNAACUCAANGAAUNACGGGGNCCCNNAACANCGGANAUUGNUUAUUNACCACNNAAACUACAGGUUNNUNCCGAANCUAAAAUGNNCCCUUUGGCGGUNAGGGGCUGGUGCCACNUNCGGAAUGGUAANCCNAANCACCUNCUUUNCNUCUNGGAGGGCCAAACCGGUANGGAGGGCNAAAUNCUUUUGUCNCNAANNAAA